This 534-nucleotide ribosomal RNA is filed under the name uncultured bacterium. RNAcentral describes it as "partial 16S ribosomal RNA". It matches the Rfam family "Bacterial small subunit ribosomal RNA", at positions 28 to 523 of the family's 1533-position model. The record is from RNAcentral.
GACGAACGCUGGCGGCGUGCUUAACACAUGCAAGUCGAACGGACUUACUUAUCUGACAUUUUCGGAUGAAGGGCGAGUAGGUUAGUGGCGGACGGGUGAGUAACGCGUGGGUAACCUACCCUUUUCACGGGGACAACAGUUGGAAACGACUGCUAAUACCGGAUGUGAUGGAGAGAAGGCAUCUUCUUUUUAUGAAAGGCGGCCUCUGAAUAUGCUGUCGGGAAAGGAUGGACCCGCGUCUGAUUAGGUAGUUGGUGAGGUAACGGCUCACCAAGCCCGCGAUCAGGAGCCGGCCUGAGAGGGUGGCCGGCCACAUUGGGACUGAGACACGGCCCAAACUCCUACGGGAGGCAGCAGUGGGGAAUCUUCCGCAAUGGGCGAAAGCCUGACGGAGCAACGCCGCGUGAGUGAAGAAGGCCUUCGGGUCGUAAAGCUCUGUCUUUAGGGACGAAAAGGCAGUAGAGUAAUAUGCUAUUGCUGUGACGGUACCUGAGGAGGAAGCUCCGGCUAACUACGUGCCAGCCGCCGCGGUAA